CUUUCAGACUUAAAAAGAACAAUGAGGAAAGACACCCACGCUUCCCCUCACUGGGCUAGGAAGGAGAGCUUUGCGGGUUUAGACUGCAGUCUCCCCCGCCCAUAGCCACCUGUGUGCCGGCUCCGCAGACGAGGUCCCCCCAGCACCCUGGCAGGGACUGUACCAUCAACAGACAAAUGGCAGCCGACCAAGGAGGCGACUGGCGUGUGGAACAGGGAGAAAGAGGUUUUCAUGGAGAAAGAGGCAACGUUGACUAUACGUGUUUACUCAAAGCUUUUUUAUACCGGACUAUAUGCCAUCCAGGUUUAAGAGAAUUCCAGGCAGGCUCUAGCAUUAUGUUUUUCACAGAAAAAGCCGGUGCAGUAGCCCGGAUGCCCAGAUCCACUCAUUUCCCAAACCGGUUCCCACACCCGCUGCCCACCACCUGGCGAGGAAGGAGCGGGCGAGGUUCGCUCGAAUCGUCGUCACGGGUUUCCGUGGGUACAGUUAUUACUCGUUACAUAAUAUUAAACAAUUAAGAUUAAAAAUGG
This 530-nucleotide long non-coding RNA is filed under the name Homo sapiens (human). Its description in RNAcentral is "HSALNT0340754". Lineage: Eukaryota; Metazoa; Chordata; Mammalia; Primates; Hominidae. The record is from RNAcentral.